This 202-nucleotide long non-coding RNA is filed under the name Mytilus galloprovincialis (Mediterranean mussel). The record is from RNAcentral. Lineage: Eukaryota; Metazoa; Mollusca; Bivalvia; Mytilida; Mytilidae.
CAUCCAACACUCACAUGACUGAUUCAUAUACUUUAUUUUAAAAUGAAAAGUACAUGUAUGAGAAGUUCUCUUCUUGGAAUGGUAUACUGUUAAUAUAAUUCGAAGAAGGCAAAGACAAAUGAUUGAUUUUGUUUGUAGCCUAACGUCCAGGGGCAAAUGUUUCAUUCAUGUUCAGAUCGAGUAUAUUUUUCUGACGUUCCAG